GAUGAACGCUGGCGGCGUGCCUAAUACAUGCAAGUCGAGCGAACAGACGAGGAGCUUGCUCCUCUGACGUUAGCGGCGGACGGGUGAGUAACACGUGGAUAACCUACCUAUAAGACUGGGAUAACUUCGGGAAACCGGAGCUAAUACCGGAUAAUAUAUUGAACCGCAUGGUUCAAUAGUGUAAGACGGUUUUGCUUUCACUUAUAGAUGGCUCCGCGCCGCAUUAGCUAGUUGGUAAGGUAACGGCUUACCAAGGCAACGAUGCGUAGACGACCUGAGAGGGUGAUCGGCCACACUGGAACUGAGACACGGUCCAGACUCCUACGGGAGGCAGCAGUAGGGAAUCUUCCGCAAUGGGCGAAAGCUUGACGGAGCAACGCCGCGUGAGUGAUGAAGGUCUUCGGAUCGUAAAACUCUGUUAUUAGGGAAGAACAAAUGUGUAAGUAACUAUGCACGUCUUGACGGUACCUAAUCAGAAAGCCACGGCUAACUACGUG
This 497-nucleotide ribosomal RNA is filed under the name uncultured bacterium. Its description in RNAcentral is "partial 16S ribosomal RNA". It matches the Rfam family "Bacterial small subunit ribosomal RNA", at positions 28 to 507 of the family's 1533-position model. The record is from RNAcentral.